UUGGAGGGCAAGUUUGGUGCCAGCAGCCGCGGUAAUUCCAGCUUCAAUAGCGUAUAUUAAAGUUGUUGCAGUUAAAAAGCUCGUAGUUGAAUUUCGGGAUUAGCAGGUCGGUCGUGCCUUCGGUAUGAACUGGUCUCGCUGAUUCCUCCCUCUUGACAAACUGGAAUGCCAUUAAUUUGGUGUUGCGGGGAAUCAGGACUGUUACUUUGAAAAAAUUAAAGGGUUUAAAGCAGG
Molecule: ribosomal RNA, 234 nt
Filed under: uncultured Glomeraceae
Lineage: Eukaryota; Fungi; Glomeromycota; Glomeromycetes; Glomerales; Glomeraceae
Description: partial 18S ribosomal RNA
Rfam family: Eukaryotic small subunit ribosomal RNA
Source: RNAcentral